AACGAACGCUGGCGGCAUGCCUAACACAUGCAAGUCGAACGAGACCUUCGGGUCUAGUGGCGCACGGGUGCGUAACGCGCGGGAACCUGCCCUUAGGUUCGGAAUAACUCCCCGAAAGGGGUGCUAAUACCGGGUAAUGUCUUCGGACCAAAGAUUUAUCGCCUUUGGAUGGGCCCGCGUUGGAUUAGCUAGUUGGUAGGGUAAAAGCCUACCAAGGCGACGAUCCAUAGCUGGUCUGAGAGGAUGAUCAGCCACACUGGGACUGAGACACGGCCCAGACUCCUACGGGAGGCAGCAGUGGGGAAUAUUGGACAAUGGGCGAAAGCCUGAUCCAGCAAUGCCGCGUGAGUGAUGAAGGCCUUAGGGUUGUAAAGCUCUUUUACCCGGGAUGAUAAUGACAGUACCGGGAGAAUAAGCUCCGGCUAACUCCGUG
Molecule: ribosomal RNA, 433 nt
Filed under: uncultured bacterium
Lineage: Bacteria
Description: partial 16S ribosomal RNA
Rfam family: Bacterial small subunit ribosomal RNA
Source: RNAcentral